This 253-nucleotide ribosomal RNA is filed under the name uncultured bacterium. RNAcentral's name for it is "partial 16S ribosomal RNA". It matches the Rfam family "Bacterial small subunit ribosomal RNA", at positions 524 to 776 of the family's 1533-position model. The record is from RNAcentral.
UACGAAGGGGGCUAGCGUUGUUCGGAAUUACUGGGCGUAAAGGGUGCGUAGGCGGGUCUUUAAGUCAGGGGUGAAAUCCUGGAGCUCAACUCCAGAACUGCCUUUGAUACUGAGGAUCUUGAGUUCGGGAGAGGUGAGUGGAACUGCGAGUGUAGAGGUGAAAUUCGUAGAUAUUCGCAAGAACACCAGUGGCGAAGGCGGCUCACUGGCCCGAUACUGACGCUGAUGCACGAAAGCGUGGGGAGCAAACAGG